Molecule: ribosomal RNA, 492 nt
Filed under: uncultured bacterium
Lineage: Bacteria
Description: partial 16S ribosomal RNA
Rfam family: Bacterial small subunit ribosomal RNA
Source: RNAcentral
AGUGAACGCUGGCGGUAGGCCUAACACAUGCAAGUCGAACGGCAGCACAGUAAGAGCUUGCUCUUACGGGUGGCGAGUGGCGGACGGGUGAGGAAUACAUCGGAAUCUACUUUUUCGUGGGGGAUAACGUAGGGAAACUUACGCUAAUACCGCAUACGACCUACGGGUGGAAGCAGGGGAUCUUCGGACCUUGCGCGAUUGAAUGAGCCGAUGUCGGAUUAGCUAGUUGGCGGGGUAAAGGCCCACCGAGGCGACGAUCCGUAGCUGGUCUGAGAGGAUGAUCAGCCACACUGGAACUGAGACACGGUCCAGACUCCUACGGGAGGCAGCAGUGGGGAAUAUUGGACAAUGGGCGCAAGCCUGAUCCAGCCAUACCGCGUGGGUGAAGAAGGCCUUCGGGUUGUAAAGCCCUUUUGUUGGGAAAGAAAAGCAGCAGGUUAAUACCCCGCUGUUCUGACGGUACCCAAAGAAUAAGCACCGGCUAACUUCGUG